This is a non-coding RNA of Peromyscus maniculatus bairdii (prairie deer mouse), 438 nucleotides long. NCBI's taxonomy places the organism in Eukaryota, Metazoa, Chordata, Mammalia, Rodentia, Cricetidae. The record is from RefSeq and is a predicted model, not a curated record.
CUCAAAGAAAGACCAGCAACAGCAGAAGCAGAGAGUCCACACAGGGACAGAUGCCAGGCAAAUGUCCAGGCUUUGUAGGGGGCAGCGAAAGAGUCAGAUGGCUUCUCCUCCAGACACUUUCCCUCAGGGAACUGGGUUUUUAUAUGAGAACACUUCUUGGUGACAGCCAUCAGGAAGCAUCGCCAGGACCAAACGCUGGGAAAUGGCUGAAUAAAUCAUCAUAUGUCCCCGCAACUGAACAUCAUGCAGCUAUUAAAUAGAUGUCUUCGAACUGGCAACUUGUGGAAAGAAUUGGUCCUGAGGCAUGGUGUCUAUAAAUGUUCCAUCUUUCCUGCCAAAUUUGAAGAUGGGAUUAAAUUAAAGAGAUGGUGUAGUUAUGUUAGAGUACUCAGGUGGACAUCAUGAAGACGCAGAUAGUGUGAAAAACUCCUAGAAGAU